CCUACGGGUGGCAGCAGUGGGGGAUAUUGCACAAUGGGGGGAACCCUGAUGCAGCGACGCCGCGUGGGUGAAGAAGCGCCUCGGCGCGUAAAGCCCUGUCAGCAGGGAAGAAAAUGACGGUACCUGAAGAAGAAGCCCCGGCUAACUACGUGCCAGCAGCCGCGGUAAUACGUAGGGGGCAAGCGUUAUCCGGAUUUACUGGGUGUAAAGGGGGCGCAGACGGCGAUGCAAGUCUGAUGUGAAAAUCCGGGGCCCAACCCCGGAACUGCAUUGGAAACUGUAUAUCUAGAGUGUCGGAGAGGCAAGUGGAAUUCCUGGUGUAGCGGUGAAAUGCGUAGAUAUCAGGAGGAACACCAGUGGCGAAGGCGGCUUGCUGGACGAUGACUGACGUUGAGGCUCGAAAGCGUGGGGAGCAAACAGGAUUAGAUACCCGUGUAGUC
RNAcentral lists this ribosomal RNA (440 nucleotides) under uncultured bacterium. RNAcentral's name for it is "partial 16S ribosomal RNA". It matches the Rfam family "Bacterial small subunit ribosomal RNA", at positions 338 to 795 of the family's 1533-position model. The record is from RNAcentral.